RNAcentral lists this ribosomal RNA (379 nucleotides) under uncultured cyanobacterium. RNAcentral's name for it is "bacterial SSU rRNA". It matches the Rfam family "Bacterial small subunit ribosomal RNA", at positions 376 to 770 of the family's 1533-position model. The record is from RNAcentral. Lineage: Bacteria; Bacillati; Cyanobacteriota.
CGAAAGCCUGACGGAGCAAGACCGCGUGAGGGAGGAAGGCUCUUGGGUUGUAAACCUCUUUUCUCAGGGAAGAAGCUCUGACGGUACCUGAGGAAUCAGCCUCGGCUAACUCCGUGCCAGCAGCCGCGGUAAUACGGAGGAGGCAAGCGUUAUCCGGAAUUAUUGGGCGUAAAGCGUUCGCAGGUGGCCAUUCAAGUCUGCUGUCAAAGACCAGAGCUCAACUCUGGGUAGGCGGUGGAAACUGAAUAGCUAGAGUGCGGUAGGGGUAGAGGGAAUUCCCAGUGUAGCGGUGAAAUGCGUAGAGAUUGGGAAGAACAUCGGUGGCGAAAGCGCUCUACUGGACCGCAACUGACACUCAGGGACGAAAGCUAGGGGAGCG